Molecule: small nuclear RNA, 107 nt
Organism: Hyaena hyaena (striped hyena)
Lineage: Eukaryota; Metazoa; Chordata; Mammalia; Carnivora; Hyaenidae
Source: RefSeq, a predicted model, not a curated record
GUGCUCACUUCGACAACACGUACACUAACACUGGAAUGAUACAGAGAAGAUUAUCAUGGCCCCUGCACAGGGAUGGCACGCAAAUUCAUGAAGCAUUCCAUGUUUUA